AGGAAGAGAAAAGAUAUGGAUUUGGACGAAAGAACAACUACAAAAGAAGAGUGCACACCAUCUGAACAGAAUAAUACAGAUGCAAAUGUCGGUGAAUUAAAUGUGACUUCAAAAGUUGCUGUUUCAAAAGUUGUUGUGGUUGGACUCAGUGCAGUAGAAAAAUCAGAGAAGAAAAGACAGACAAGAAAAAGAUAAGGAUUCAGAUGUAGGAACAACGACAACUACAAUAUUUUGAGAUUCACAUGGUGGAAAAAGACUGGAAAGUGGUGAACAAAAUGACUUUAAAGGAAGGUAAGGUAGUGAAUUGUAUUUCUCCUGCUAUAAGCAGCAACCUUUCUUUCUCGUUAUUUUCCUUUUGUGUGGAUUCUUGAAUCUUGACACUCUAGUAUUAAGUUUGACCGACUUUAAGCCGAACUUAUAGUUGACAAAGAAGAUUAUGGAUUUAUGGUUAUCAUAUUAACAUAGAGCUACACUUUUGAGUA
Non-coding RNA from Arachis ipaensis, 482 nucleotides. NCBI's taxonomy places the organism in Eukaryota, Viridiplantae, Streptophyta, Magnoliopsida, Fabales, Fabaceae. The record is from RefSeq and is a predicted model, not a curated record.